AUCUUGUUACAAUGCAGAUUCUAAUUUAGUAGGUCUAGGCUGGGCCUGAGAUUCUGCAUUUCUAACAAGUUCCCAGGUGGCGCC
Molecule: microRNA precursor, 84 nt
Filed under: Pteropus vampyrus (large flying fox)
Lineage: Eukaryota; Metazoa; Chordata; Mammalia; Chiroptera; Pteropodidae
Description: miRNA (ENSPVAG00000028368.1)
Source: RNAcentral